AUUGAACGCUGGCGGAAUGCUUUACACAUGCAAGUCGAACGGCAGCACGGGCUUCGGUCUGGUGGCGAGUGGCGAACGGGUGAGUAAUACAUCGGAACGUGCCCAGUCGCGGGGGAUAACGUAGCGAAAGCUACGCUAAUACCGCAUACGAUCUAAGGAUGAAAGCGGGGGAUCGCAAGACCUCGCGCGAUUGGAGCGGCCGAUGGCAGAUUAGGUAGUUGGUAGGGUAAAGGCCUACCAAGCCGACGAUCUGUAGCUGGUCUGAGAGGAUGAUCAGCCACACUGGGACUGAGACACGGCCCAGACUCCUACGGGAGGCAGCAGUGGGGAAUUUUGGACAAUGGGCGCAAGCCUGAUCCAGCCAUUCCGCGUGCAGGAUGAAGGCCUUCGGGUUGUAAACUGCUUUUGUACAGAACGAAAAGGCUCUGGUUAAUACCCGGGGCUCAUGACGGUACUGUAAGAAUAAGCACCGGCUAACUACGUGCCAGCCGCCGCCGUAA
RNAcentral lists this ribosomal RNA (500 nucleotides) under uncultured bacterium. RNAcentral's name for it is "partial 16S ribosomal RNA". It matches the Rfam family "Bacterial small subunit ribosomal RNA", at positions 30 to 523 of the family's 1533-position model. The record is from RNAcentral.